GGAGAGUUUGAUCCUGGCUCAGGAUGAACGCUAGCGGCAGGCCUAAUACAUGCAAGUCGAACGGGUGGUCGCAAGACCACUAGUGGCGCACGGGUGCGUAACGCGUAACCAACCUACCUGGAUCUGGGGGAUAGCCCGCCGAAAGGCGGAUUAAUACCGCAUAAGCUAAGUGACUGGCAUCAGUUAUUUCGUAAAGAUUUAUUGGAUUCUGAUGGGGUUGCGUAGCAUUAGCUAGAUGGCGGGGUAACGGCCCACCAUGGCGACGAUGCUUAGGGGACCUGAGAGGGUGAUCCCCCACACUGGCACUGAGAUACGGGCCAGACUCCUACGGGAGGCAGCAGUAGGGAAUAUUGGGCAAUGGGCGAGAGCCUGACCCAGCCAUGCCGCGUGCCGGAUGAAGGCCUUCUGGGUUGUAAACGGCUUUUCUCAGGGAAGAAAAAGGGGAUGCGUCCCAAACUGACGGUACCUGAGGAAUAAGCACCGGCUAACUCCGUGCCAGCAGCCGCGGUAAUACGGAGGGUGCAAGCGUUGUCCGGAUUUAUUGGGUUUAAAGGGUGCGUAGGUGGCUUGUUAAGUCCGGGGUGAAAGCCCACAGCUCAACUGUGGAACUGCCCUGGAUACUGGCAAGCUUGAGAGUCGUCGAGGGUGGCGGAAUGGACGGUGUAGCGGUGAAAUGCAUAGAUACCGUCCAGAACCCCAAUUGCGUAGGCAGCUGCCUAGGCGACAUCUGACACUGAGGCACGAAAGCGUGGGGAGCAAACAGGAUUAGAUACCCUGGUAGU
Molecule: ribosomal RNA, 782 nt
Filed under: uncultured Hymenobacter sp.
Lineage: Bacteria; Pseudomonadati; Bacteroidota; Cytophagia; Cytophagales; Hymenobacteraceae
Description: bacterial SSU rRNA
Rfam family: Bacterial small subunit ribosomal RNA
Source: RNAcentral